UAGGGAAUCUUCCGCAAUGGACGCAAGUCUGACGGAGCAACGCCGCGUGAGUGAAGAAGGAUUUCGGUUCGUAAAACUCUGUUGUUAGAGAAGAACAGCGCAUAGAGUAACUGUUAUGCGUGUGACGGUAUCUAACCAGAAAGCCACGGCUAACUACGUGCCAGCAGCCGCGGUAAUACGUAGGUGGCAAGCGUUGUCCGGAUUUAUUGGGCGUAAAGCGAGCGCAGGCGGUCAAUUAAGUCUGAUGUGAAAGCCCCCGGCUCAACCGAGGAGGGUCAUUGGAAACUGGUUGACUUGAGUGCAAAAGAGGAGAGUGGAAUUCCAUAUGUAGCGGUGAAAUGCGUAGAUAUAUGGAGGAACACCAGUGGCGAAGGCGACUCUCUGGUCUGUAACUGACGCUGAGGCUCGAAAGCGUGGGUAGCAAACAGG
RNAcentral lists this ribosomal RNA (429 nucleotides) under Bacteroidota bacterium. RNAcentral's name for it is "Bacteroidetes bacterium partial 16S ribosomal RNA". It matches the Rfam family "Bacterial small subunit ribosomal RNA", at positions 355 to 776 of the family's 1533-position model. The record is from RNAcentral. Lineage: Bacteria; Pseudomonadati; Bacteroidota.